RNAcentral lists this ribosomal RNA (468 nucleotides) under uncultured bacterium. RNAcentral describes it as "partial 16S ribosomal RNA". It matches the Rfam family "Bacterial small subunit ribosomal RNA", at positions 28 to 507 of the family's 1533-position model. The record is from RNAcentral.
GACGAACGCUGGCGGCGUGCUUAACACAUGCAAGUCGAACGGAAAGGCCCUGCUUUUGUGGAGUGCUCGAGUGGCGAACGGGUGAGUAACACGUGAGUAACCUGCUCUUGACUUUGGGAUAACUUCAGGAAACUGGGGCUAAUACCGGAUAGGAGCUCCUGCUGCAUGGUGGGGGUUGGAAAGUUUCGGCGGUUGGGGAUGGACUCGCGGCUUAUCAGCUUGUUGGCGGGGUAGUGGCUUACCAAGGCUUUGACGGGUAGCCGGCCUGAGAGGGUGACCGACCACAUUGGGACUGAGAUACGGCCCAGACUCCUACGGGAGGCAGCAGUGGGGAAUAUUGCACAAUGGGCGGAAGCCUGAUGCAGCAACGCCGCGUGCGGGAUGACGGCCUUCGGGUUGUAAACCGCUUUCGCCUGUGACGAAGCGUGAGUGACGGUAAUGGGUAAAGAAGCACCGGCUAACUACGUG